CAGGUCUUGACAUCCCACUGACCGGCUUAGAGAUAGGCUUUUCCCUUCGGGGACAGUGGUGACAGGUGGUGCAUGGUUGUCGUCAGCUCGUGUCGUGAGAUGUUGGGUUAAGUCCCGCAACGAGCGCAACCCUUGAUCUUAGUUGCCAGCAUUCAGUUGGGCACUCUAAGGUGACUGCCGGUGAUAAACCGGAGGAAGGUGGGGAUGACGUCAAAUCAUCAUGCCCCUUAUGACCUGGGCUACACACGUGCUACAAUGGACGAUACAAAGGGCUGCAAACUCGCGAGGGGGAGCCAAUCCCAUAAAAUCGUUCUCAGUUCGGAUUGUAGGCUGCAACUCGCCUACAUGAAGCCGGAAUCGCUAGUAAUCGUGGAUCAGCAUGCCACGGUGAAUACGUUCCC
Molecule: ribosomal RNA, 401 nt
Filed under: uncultured bacterium
Lineage: Bacteria
Description: bacterial SSU rRNA
Rfam family: Bacterial small subunit ribosomal RNA
Source: RNAcentral